AUUGAACGCUGGCGGCAGGCCUAACACAUGCAAGUCGAGCGGAUGAAGGGAGCUUGCUCCUGGAUUCAGCGGCGGACGGGUGAGUAAUGCCUAGGAAUCUGCCUGGUAGUGGGGGAUAACGUCCGGAAACGGGCGCUAAUACCGCAUACGUCCUGAGGGAGAAAGUGGGGGAUCUUCGGACCUCACGCUAUCAGAUGAGCCUAGGUCGGAUUAGCUAGUUGGUGGGGUAUAGGCCUACCAAGGCGACGAUCCGUAACUGGUCUGAGAGGAUGAUCAGUCACACUGGAACUGAGACACGGUCCAGACUCCUACGGGAGGCAGCAGUGGGGAAUAUUGGACAAAGGGCGAAAGCCUGAUCCAGCCAUGCCGCGUGUGUGAAGAAGGUCUUCGGAUUGUAAAGCACUUUAAGUUGGGAGGAAGGGCAGUAAGUUAAUACCUUGCUGUUUUGACGUUACCAACAGAAUAAGCACCGGCUAACUUCGUG
RNAcentral lists this ribosomal RNA (484 nucleotides) under uncultured bacterium. Its description in RNAcentral is "partial 16S ribosomal RNA". It matches the Rfam family "Bacterial small subunit ribosomal RNA", at positions 30 to 507 of the family's 1533-position model. The record is from RNAcentral.